GUUCUGUUCGUGAUAAAAUUCAAAGCUGAUGCGUGCAUUAUCGGCGAGGCAGGCGAAUAGUGUAUGUUCAUGAGGGAUGUUCAUCGAUUCAAAUGAUCACUUUUUCGCGAAUUCUCCAACCACUGCCUAUAGGUGCAAAUGUAAGCCUCGGGCAACCAUGACGUUAGAAGCUGCACAUCCAUAUCGUGCUGAUCAACGCGUAGUUGAUUGUGACGGACGUCAGGGCGAUGGUUCGGAUCCGAUCGCGAAAAUCAUCACCAAAAACCAAUGGGUGGGGUCACAAAUCGCCACUACCUGUCCGCAGCUACACUCCCAGUAAUGUAAAUUCGCAUGUAAAAGGAAAAAAAACGACGCCGAUGACUACAAGGGGGCCGGCUAGCAACGGUUCAAACGCGUACAAGGUUUCCAACGUGGUAGCGACUAAGAGUCUAGCUCGAAGAAAAAGGCUCCACGAAAGACAAAGCAAAAGUUGGAAUUCGCGCUAUCCUGUAAGCUUGCUGGUUAUUGUUU
Long non-coding RNA from Sabethes cyaneus, 510 nucleotides. RefSeq lists it as uncharacterized. The record is from RefSeq and is a predicted model, not a curated record. The transcript has 3 exons. NCBI's taxonomy places the organism in Eukaryota, Metazoa, Arthropoda, Insecta, Diptera, Culicidae.